RNAcentral lists this ribosomal RNA (816 nucleotides) under Phanerochaete australosanguinea. RNAcentral's name for it is "partial 28S large subunit ribosomal RNA". It matches the Rfam family "Eukaryotic large subunit ribosomal RNA", at positions 107 to 909 of the family's 3401-position model. Lineage: Eukaryota; Fungi; Basidiomycota; Agaricomycetes; Polyporales; Phanerochaetaceae. The record is from RNAcentral.
GCUCAAAUUUAAAAUCUGACAGUCUUUGGCUGUUCGAGUUGUAAUCUGGAGAAGCGUCUUCCGCGCUGGACCGUGUACAAGUCUCCUGGAACGGAGCGUCGCAGAGGGUGAGAAUCCCGUCUUUGACACGGACUACCAGUGCUUUGUGAUGCGCUCUCAAAGAGUCGAGUUGUUUGGGAAUGCAGCUCUAAAUGGGUGGUAAACUCCAUCUAAAGCUAAAUAUUGGCGAGAGACCGAUAGCGAACAAGUACCGUGAGGGAAAGAUGAAAAGCACUUUGGAAAGAGAGUUAAACAGUACGUGAAAUUGCUGAAAGGGAAACGCUUGAAGUCAGUCGCGUUUGCUAGGACUCAGCCUUGCCUCGGCUUGGUGCAUUUCCUAAUGAACGGGCCAGCAUCAUUUUUGGCUGCGGGAAAAAGGUCAGAGGAAUGUGGCACCUUCGGGUGUGUUAUAGCCUCUGGCUGUAUACCGUGGCUGGGAGUGAGGAACUCAGCAUGCCUUAAUGGCGGGGCUUCGGCCACCUUCGUGCUUAGGAUGCUGGCGUAAUGGCUUUAAACGACCCGUCUUGAAACACGGACCAAGGAGUCUAACAUGCCUGCGAGUGUUUGGGUGGAAAACCCGAGCGCGUAAUGAAAGUGAAAGUUGGGACCUCUGUCGUGGAGGGCACCGACGCCCGGACCUGAACUUCGGUGACGGCUCUGCGGUAGAGCAUGCAUGUUGGGACCCGAAAGAUGGUGAACUAUGCCUGAAUAGGGUGAAGCCAGAGGAAACUCUGGUGGAGGCUCGUAGCGAUUCCGACGUGCAAAUCGAUCGUCAAA